RNAcentral lists this ribosomal RNA (499 nucleotides) under uncultured bacterium. Its description in RNAcentral is "partial 16S ribosomal RNA". It matches the Rfam family "Bacterial small subunit ribosomal RNA", at positions 28 to 507 of the family's 1533-position model. The record is from RNAcentral.
GACGAACGCUGGCGGCGUGCCUAACACAUGCAAGUCGAGCGAAGUUUUUCUGUUUCUUGCCCUAGAAAAACUUAGCGCCUAACGGUUUAGUCACACGUAAAGAACCUGCCUCAUAAACUGGGACUACUAUUGGAAACGAUCGCUAAUACCGGAUAACAGCAUUAACUGCUUGGUUGAUGUUUAAAUGUUUGUUUUGCUAACACUAUGAGAUGGCUUUGCGGUGAAUUAGCUAGUUGGUGGGGUAAAGGCCUACCAAGGCGACGAUGCAUAGCCGACCUGAGAGGGUGAUCGGCAAGACGGGGAGUGAGAAAGGGCCCAGACUCCGACGGGAGGAAGCAGUAGGGAAUCUUCCGCAAUGGGCGAAAGCGUGACGGAGCAAAGAGGCGUAAGGGAAGAAGGAUUUAGGUUCGGAAAGCGCUGUUGUUAGGGAAGAAUGAUUGUGUAGUAACUAUACACAGUAGAGACGGUACCGAGCCAGAAAGCCACGGCUAACUACGUG